RNAcentral lists this ribosomal RNA (576 nucleotides) under Porostereum spadiceum. Its description in RNAcentral is "LSU rRNA". It matches the Rfam family "Eukaryotic large subunit ribosomal RNA", at positions 66 to 625 of the family's 3401-position model. The record is from RNAcentral. Lineage: Eukaryota; Fungi; Basidiomycota; Agaricomycetes; Polyporales; Phanerochaetaceae.
UAACAAGGAUUCCCCUAGUAACUGCGAGUGAAGCGGGAAAAGCUCAAAUUUAAAAUCUGGCGGUCUUCGGCCGUCCGAGUUGUAAUCUGGAGAAGCGUCUUCCGCGCUGGACCGUGUACAAGUCUCUUGGAACAGAGCGUCAUAGAGGGUGAGAAUCCCGUCUUUGACACGGACUACCAGUGCUUUGUGAUGCGCUCUCGAUGAGUCGAGUUGUUUGGGAAUGCAGCUCAAAACGGGUGGUAAAUUCCAUCUAAAGCUAAAUAUUGGCGAGAGACCGAUAGCGAACAAGUACCGUGAGGGAAAGAUGAAAAGCACUUUGGAAAGAGAGUUAAACAGUACGUGAAAUUGCUGAAAGGGAAACGCUUGAAGUCAGUCGCGUUUGCUAGAACUCAGCCUUGCUUCUGUGAGGUGCAUUUUCUAGUGAACGGGCCAGCAUCAGUUUUGGCUGCCGGACAAAGGCCUCGGGAAUGUGGCACCUUCGGGUGUGUUAUAGCCCUUGGUCGUAUACGGUGGCUGGGACUGAGGAUCUCAGCACGCCUUCAUGGCGGGGGUUCGCCCACCUUCGUGCUUAGGAUG